AAGGAAUUUGAUGCAGAGCGGUGUGCUGGUGAAUAAGCAAUCCAUCUCACUGGGAAUGCAAGUCUUUCCAAAUGGUUUCUGCACAAAUGGAAACCAGCUGAAAAACUGACCACGACCAAGAUGUAAUUUAAGAUGGCAUUUCAGUCUCUUUGUCUUCUCUGUCUCUUGAGAUAUCAUCAUCAAAUAAAGAAUUCAUCAGGUCUGCUGCUGCUGCCCUCCAGUCUUCUUCCUCCUCCUCUGCUAAUGACUCAUCCGAAGGGGACAUGACACUAUCCCCCUCCCCAGGACCAGCCCGCCCCCUCUCCUGGGCCUGGUUUGCUCAGAUAACACUGGUGGAACUGACUGACCAGGCGGGGGGGGCAUGUACCUGUGAGGCGUCUUCCCAGGAGUGUUCCUCUGGGCCAUACCCUUUCCAGUCUAUCAGGUACUGGAGUUGGCUGCAAUGCCUACGGGAGCCCAGGAUCUGCGCUACUUCAAAUUCUUCCUCCUCAUACACUUCCACAGGCAGCAGAGGCCAUGUCCGAGAACUCAAGGGGGGAAGCGGGAGGGCCAGGACCAACAAUGACCUAUGGAAGACAGGGUGGAUGCAAAGGGAUGUGGGGAGUUGCAGCCAGAAAGCCACAGGGUUAACCUGUUAGGUGAUAAAGAAGGGACCGAUGUGUCAUGCAGCCAGUUUCUGACAUGGCCGUUGGGACCGCAGGGACUUGGUUGAGAGCCACACCCCGUCCCCUACCUUUAGCAGAGGGCCUAGCUAGUGGUGGUGAUCCGCAAAUCAUUUAUAUGCAUCCUUCGCCUGCUCCAACUGCUGUUUCAAGACCACCUGUACGGCCUGCAAUUCUUGCAGCAUGAGAUCUGUGACAGGGACUGGUGUGGGGGGGUAGGACCGAGGGAAAGAACCGGGGUGAUAGCCAUAGGAGGUAAAGAAGAAGUUUGAUGUGUGGAGGCAUGUAGAGAGUUAUUAUAUGCAAAUUCAGCCAGAGGCAGUAGAUCCGCCCAAUUGUCCUGCUAGUAGCAGGUGUAACAUCACAGAUACUGUGCCAGUGUGGUGUUGGUGCGCUCUGUCUGCCCAUCUGAUUGCGGAUGGUGGGCUGAGGACAAAUGGACCUCGACAUCAAGGGUUCGGAACAGCACUUGCCAGAACCAGGCAGUGAACUGGGCCCCUAGGUCCGAUAUCAGGUGGUCCGGAAGGCCAUGUAGAUGGAAAACCUGGGCCAAAAACAUCCGAGUGGUUUCUGAGGCUGAUGGGAGUCUGGCACAGGGGAGGAAAUGGGCCAUCUUGGUGAACAGGUCUACUACUACAAGAAUGCUGGUCAUUCCCCUAGAGGAGGGCAGUUCUGUGAUGAAAUCCAGAGAGACUGACUGCCAGGAACCUGGGGGAGUGGGCAGCAGGAUCAGAAGCCCAGGCGGCUUUCCAGGGUGCCCCUUUGCUGAUU
This is a long non-coding RNA of Rhineura floridana, 1433 nucleotides long. RefSeq lists it as uncharacterized. The record is from RefSeq and is a predicted model, not a curated record. NCBI's taxonomy places the organism in Eukaryota, Metazoa, Chordata, Lepidosauria, Squamata, Rhineuridae. The transcript has 3 exons.